This is an RNA transcript of Juglans regia (Persian walnut), 1039 nucleotides long. RefSeq lists it as uncharacterized. The record is from RefSeq and is a predicted model, not a curated record. The transcript has 4 exons. NCBI's taxonomy places the organism in Eukaryota, Viridiplantae, Streptophyta, Magnoliopsida, Fagales, Juglandaceae.
ACGUGCGUUUUGGCACGGUUUUGAGCUUGGGUGCCCCAAUUCUCUCUAGAUCUCUUCCUUGAACAAAAGUUUGACGCCGCUACGGUCGCUGCAAUCCUACUGUCGUGUUGCCGCAUCGUCGCCGUCAAACUCCUCGUCUAUCUCUCAUUUUUCCAGCGUCGCCUUUCCUCGUCUAUCCCUCUCUCCCUUCCUUUAUCUCACUAAUUAGUGCUGCCAUAGCCUCUCUCUGCUCUAGCUUCUUUUGUGAAAUAGCUUCAUCAUGUCGCCGUACCAGUCCAGCAUUUCAGAGUACCAGCCACCUCUUGCGUAAAUGUUCAGCCAAAACAAUGAAAAUAGGCGUAAGUAAAGAGUCAACCACACAAGCGGAAGGACUUCAUUUGUUGUACUAAUGGAAAGAAAGUAGAAGGAGAAGAAUCUAAUUAAUUUCUACAAAGAUGUGCAUUGGUCGAAUAAAAAAGGGAUAUUUAUCACAACAACUACUGAAGACAAUUAUAAUCAGAUGGUUCAAUUGAUGAAUGCCAAAGACCCAAAUGCUCGCACAGAUGAAGCAGCAACAACCAUAUUUAGGGAGGUAUUGGGACAUAGAUCAAGGUAUAACAAAGGGCUGGGCCACUCUGUUAUGCCCGAAUCUACAAAAGUGGCUGGAGUAUCAAAUGAGGAGUAUGAACGGCUUGCUAAGGAGAAUGAAGCAAAUAGGAAAAAUGCAGAGUAUUACCAAAAUCGGGUUGAAGAGAUUGAAGGUGGUUUCAGGAUUAUGAGGGAGCAUAUGCAGGAUUAUGAGCAACGUGUAAACAUGAAAAUGUCAUAAGUGGAGACAGAAUUAGAGUCUCAGAGAGAGACUCAAACUACAGUUCCUAGCCGACAUUUCUGCAUGCCAGCAAUUACUAAUUUUGUAUUUUGACCUACACUUUUCCUGCACUUUUGAUGAAGGGGUGUUGGGAAUGCUGAUAAUAUAGUUAUACAUUUGAAAAUGGAUUAAUUAUAUUCUGAUCUUAGUGCAAAGGGUCAAGGAUGAGAGGUAAAUUGGUUUCUUGCUCUA